CACGUAGGAGGCGAGCGUUGUCCGGAAUCAUUGGGCGUAAAGAGCGCGCAGGCGGCUUGGCAAGUCGGGUGUGAAAUCCCGGGGCUCAACCCCGGGACUGCAUUCGAUACUGUCAGGCUAGAGGUAGGUAGGGGAGUGUGGAAUUCCUGGUGGAGCGGUGAAAUGCGCAGAUAUCAGGAGGAACACCCGUAGCGAAGGCGGCACUCUGGGCCGAUUCUGACACUGAGGAGCGAAAGCGUGGGGAGCGAACAGG
Molecule: ribosomal RNA, 253 nt
Filed under: uncultured bacterium
Lineage: Bacteria
Description: partial 16S ribosomal RNA
Rfam family: Bacterial small subunit ribosomal RNA
Source: RNAcentral